Molecule: ribosomal RNA, 429 nt
Filed under: Actinomycetes bacterium
Lineage: Bacteria; Bacillati; Actinomycetota; Actinomycetes
Description: Actinobacteria bacterium partial 16S ribosomal RNA
Rfam family: Bacterial small subunit ribosomal RNA
Source: RNAcentral
UAGGGAAUCUUCCGCAAUGGGCGAAAGCUUGACGGAGCAACGCCGCGUGAGUGAUGAAGGUCUUCGGAUCGUAAAACUCUGUUAUUAGGGAAGAACAAAUGUGUAAGUAACUAUGCACGUCUUGACGGUACCUAAUCAGAAAGCCACGGCUAACUACGUGCCAGCAGCCGCGGUAAUACGUAGGUGGCAAGCGUUAUCCGGAAUUAUUGGGCGUAAAGCGCGCGUAGGCGGUUUUUUAAGUCUGAUGUGAAAGCCCACGGCUCAACCGUGGAGGGUCAUUGGAAACUGGAAAACUUGAGUGCAGAAGAGGAAAGUGGAAUUCCAUGUGUAGCGGUGAAAUGCGCAGAGAUAUGGAGGAUCACCAGUGGCGAAGGCGACUUUCUGGUCUGUAACUGACGCUGAUGUGCGAAAGCGUGGGGAUCAAACAGG